GGUAAGAAAAAUAGAGAGACGAAUGAACAUAUGAAAAUUGAGCAUCAUGUUUUUUCACAUUUACCGCAAUAUUCAAUAGAAAAUAAAUUGAACAAAAAAAGUUUUGAAGAUCACAAUUUAUUUGAGUGAUUGAUAAGAGGGUCAAAAUGUUACCGUAACGUCUAAGCCAUAAGUGUUGCUAUAACGUCUUAUAUGGUCUGACAUGGUUUAGAC
This 213-nucleotide long non-coding RNA is filed under the name Brassica napus (rape). RNAcentral's name for it is "long non-coding RNA (BNAP_LNC014647)". The record is from RNAcentral. Lineage: Eukaryota; Viridiplantae; Streptophyta; Magnoliopsida; Brassicales; Brassicaceae.